GAUGGAUACGAUUGUCGACUGAGA
This 24-nucleotide microRNA is filed under the name Brachypodium distachyon (stiff brome). RNAcentral describes it as "bdi-miR7717a-3p". The record is from miRBase by way of RNAcentral. Lineage: Eukaryota; Viridiplantae; Streptophyta; Magnoliopsida; Poales; Poaceae.